CCCAAGUAAUUUGACUUUUCUCUUUAAUCCUGUCAAAAUACAUAUACAUGCAUUUUGGCCUUACCACUGAAAUUUCCUGUAGUUUCUGAGGGCCAUCUUCCAGUGGAGCUUUAACUUCAUGCCUAUUGGAUUAGCAUCUUGUUAUAUUAUACUUUAUUUUUUGUAAUUUUCAAGGUUUCACAUAAUACCUUGUAUAUGGAGGUUAUAUCCCUGUGAUGCACUGUUUCCUCCAUGUGUUCCAUUUUAUUUCAACACAGGUAACACCACUUGAAUAUUUCAGACCAGAGACAAUGAAGAGAGGGUGUUGGAAGAAGAGAUUAACCUAGUUAAGGUGGACCUAAAGGAAACUGAAGGAAACAAUAAUGAUGAGCUGCAAAAGGUUUAUUUGAGAAGAUAUCUCAGAUCGAAAGCUUCUUUCAAAUUUCACCUCAUUGGGAUGAGAAGAUCUGGUUUGGACAAAGGCCUUAUUCUUGAGCUGGUAGCGUUACUGCACCACGGCUAACUAAUUGAGCAGAGGGAUCUCAUACCACAGAGUUGGCGGAAAGGCCAUGUUCCCUGACAACGUAGAGCACUAUCCAAAACCAAUGGAGCAAAGAUGGGGAUUCGAGGGGAGCAAAGAUAGAGGCUCUUUUGGUGUCAAUAGUUCAGACAGGACGACAACAGGACAGAGAUGAUGAAACCCUGAUUUACGGAUCUUCUUUUGAUAAUUAAUCUCAGUUAUCAAAUAAUUGGACAAAUAAGCUGUUAAUUCUGGCUGCUUGAGUCCCAUUUUGUUUGCCUUGGAAGAGUGGAGAGGAUCAUAGACAGACAAGUGUCGAAGCUGUAUUUAUUACCACCUCUAAGGUGGUGCCUCUUUCUUUUCUUCUUUCUCUUCUCUUUCUCUAUUACCCACUGUUCCAUGUCAAAACAUUUGUUACUAACCUUUGAUACACUAAAUAUUCUUCAUGCAUAA
Molecule: long non-coding RNA, 952 nt
Organism: Lolium rigidum
Lineage: Eukaryota; Viridiplantae; Streptophyta; Magnoliopsida; Poales; Poaceae
Exons: 2
Source: RefSeq, a predicted model, not a curated record